Molecule: ribosomal RNA, 253 nt
Filed under: uncultured prokaryote
Description: partial 16S ribosomal RNA
Rfam family: Bacterial small subunit ribosomal RNA
Source: RNAcentral
ACGAACCACACAAACGUUAUUCGGAAUUACUGGGCUUAAAGGGUGCGUAGGCUGCGCAGAAAGUUGGGUGUGAAAUGCCUCGGCUCAACCGAGGAACUGCGCCCAAAACUACUGUGCUUGAGGGAGAUAGAGGUGAGCGGAACUUAGGGUGGAGCGGUGAAAUGCGUUGAUAUCCUAAGGAACACCCGUGGCGAAAGCGGCUCACUGGAUCUCUUCUGACGCUGAGGCACGAAAGCUAGGGUAGCGAACGGGA